RNAcentral lists this unclassified non-coding RNA (347 nucleotides) under soil metagenome. RNAcentral describes it as "partial contains 5.8S ribosomal RNA, internal transcribed spacer 2, and large subunit ribosomal RNA". The stretch from base 1 to 121 matches the Rfam family "5.8S ribosomal RNA", at positions 35 to 154 of the family's 154-position model. The record is from RNAcentral.
GAUGAAGAACGUAGCGAAAUGCGAUAAGUAAUGCGAAUUGCAGAAUUUCCGUGAAUCAUCGAGUCUUUGAACGCACAUUGCGCCCCCUGGUAUUCCGGGGGGCAUGCCUGUCCGAGCGUCAUUGCUGCCCUCAAGCCCGGCUUGUGUGUUGGGUCUCGUCCCCCUUCCCGGGGGGACGGGCCCGAAAGGCAGCGGCGGCACCGCGUCCGGUCCUCGAGCGUAUGGGGCUUUGUCACCCGCUCUGUAGGCCCGGCCGGCGCUUGCCGAUCAACCAAAACUUUUUUCCAGGUUGACCUCGGAUCAGGUAGGGAUACCCGCUGAACUUAAGCAUAUCAAUAAGCGGAGGA